This 1080-nucleotide long non-coding RNA is filed under the name Anser cygnoides (Swan goose). RNAcentral's name for it is "lncRNA (ENSACDG00005001113.1)". The record is from RNAcentral. Lineage: Eukaryota; Metazoa; Chordata; Aves; Anseriformes; Anatidae.
AUGACUUUUAUUGAUGUACUCCCUUCACCGCUUAACUCCUUUCCUCGUAAGCCCCAUAGAGGUGACAGGGCAGGACACCACCCGGCACCCACCGGGAGCAGGGCAGCCCAGGCCCCUCGUGGUGAGGUCUCCCGACCCCAAACACUUGCGGUGCCCCCCCCCUUUAGCCCCCAAAACUUCUCCCGGGCGUCUCCCCGGGCUGAGGAAGCCGGCGACCCCUCCUCGCCGCCUUUGGGGCGCUCGCCAGGCGCCUCCGGGUUGCUGGGGCUGCCCCCUCCUCUCCUCACAGCGCCAGCUCGGGCUCACCUCAGGGACGAGGGGGAGCACGAGCCCCUCCUCACCCCAAAACGACGCCCCUCGGCACCCCACCAAGGGCAUGGCGCUCCCCGCUCCCCCUCCCCGGGGGCCGCCGUAUGGCCGCUGCUCCCUUCCCCCGCGGCUCCUCUCCAUCCCACUCCCUGCCCACCCGGCACCCCAGGGUGCUGCCCGGCUCCCUCACCGCUCUCUCCUCGGGGCCGUUUCUCCUCGUCGCUGCCUCCGUUAACGCCGCUGCCCCCCGCUCGGGGCUCCGCUCGCCGCCCUUCAGCCCAGGCCCUGCUCCCUGCGGAGCCCCUCCGCUGCGGCUCCGCUGCACCUGCGGCGGGGCCGGGAGGAGGAGAGGGCACCCCCGCUCCGUCCUCCCUCAACUUCUCAUCCCUUCCCUCCGCCUCGCCGCCCCGGCUCUGCCCUCGACCCUCCCGGAGCCAGCAGCGGCCCCUGGGCCAGACGAGCGGAGGCUCCCCCCUGGCCGGCACCGGCGAGCCGCUGUCCGGGUCCCCGGGCGCCCUGCCGCCCCAUGCACUGCCCCAGCGCCCCGGACGGUGGGCAGGGGCUCCCGGCGGGGCAGGUGCCCUGGGCACGCCUCUGGCGGGUGGGACCGGGGCUGAGCUCCACCAAUCGGCCCCGCUGCGGCGGGAGGAGGAGGAGGAGGAGGAAGGAGCGGCCCAGGUAACUCCCCACAGCCUUUGGGGGCCCCUCGCCGCCUCACGGGGCCACCAGGUCCUGCCGCAACGCCUGGCUCCCUUCGCGGUGGUAGUGUGA